AUGUUGGAGCCGGAGGAAGAGGAGGAUGUGGAGGAUGCGGAGGGGGAUUUCCGGCAGAAGGGGAAGGUGUUCGUCGGGAACCUGCCGCUGCGGGCGAGGAAGGCGGAGGUGGCCGACUUCUUCCGCCAGUUCGGGCCGCUCGACAAGGUGGAGUUCGUGCGCACCCACGACGACCCCGAGCGCAACGCCGGCUUCUGCUUCCUCUACUACGCGGACGCGGACGCGGACGCCGAGGGCCAGGGCGCCGAGGCCGCCGCGGAGCGCGCGGCGGAGGUCGACGGGGUGGACUUCCGGGGCAGGUCGCUCACGGUGCGGCUCGACGACGGGAGGAAGGGGCGGGCCAGGGCGGAGGACCGGGCGCGCUGGGUGGACCACGGCCGAGGGAAGGAGGCGCCGUCGCCCUGGCACCACGGCAGGGACGAGGCCUGCCGCGAGUUCCGCAGGGUGGUGGAGUCGCGGCCUGAGGACUGGCAGGCCGUCGUCUCCGCCUUCGAGAGGAUCCCCAAGGUGGGUGGUUUCUCUUACCACCUCAGCCCUGUUAUCUGCUACUCCUAG
RNAcentral lists this ribosomal RNA (555 nucleotides) under Triticum aestivum (bread wheat). RNAcentral describes it as "partial small subunit ribosomal RNA". Lineage: Eukaryota; Viridiplantae; Streptophyta; Magnoliopsida; Poales; Poaceae. The record is from RNAcentral.